UUACUCCAAAUUUGCAGUAACACUGUAAGAGGAGAGAGAGAGACAGAAAGUGGAUGAUAUAACUGUUGUUUUGGUACUUGGAAUUUUCUAUAGGUAUAGAUUCUUGUCUUUGCUGAAUUUUUAUGAGACUUUGUUUUGGAUCCUUUUAUCUUAAUUGUUUUGACUUUGUUUUAUUGUAGUAAAGUGUGCCCCCCCAUUUGUAGGUUCCACGCUUCUGGUCUUGAGGUUCAAAAAGCUCUUACUUGAUAUUUGUAGAUAAAAUUCCAGCAGAUAUCAGCACUUAUACUUCCAUUGGUAGAAUGUUAACUUCAGUCAUUUUUAUACAUUUCCUAACCCCACCCAAAUAUUCC
RNAcentral lists this long non-coding RNA (350 nucleotides) under Gossypium raimondii (Peruvian cotton). RNAcentral's name for it is "long non-coding RNA (GRAI_LNC008026)". The record is from RNAcentral. Lineage: Eukaryota; Viridiplantae; Streptophyta; Magnoliopsida; Malvales; Malvaceae.